AUGUGCUGGUCUCAACUUGCCGCCGUUUACGACUUUGACGAGCUACCCUGUUUGGUAUGUGGAAUUUUAUGCUGCUGUGGAUAUACAACCGACAGUCCAAUUUUCGCAUCUCAAUUCAGUCAGCUUGGUUGGCGGACGGUGCAUUUCGCUGUUGCUACCGGGAAAAUGACGAGGCCAAGGCAUCUGAUCCGAGUUGUGGUGAUCCUCCUAGCGACGUGGUCCCUCCUCUUCCUCCGGAGCUCGUCGGCCGCAGUCGUGCCUAAACUCCGACCACCGCCACCAGCAGCAGCGCCAGGAGGCACCCUCUGCAUCCCCCGCGAGCGGGACGCGCUUCUCGCCUUCAAGGCUGGCCUCACCGACCCGAGCAACUACCUUUUGUCAUGGCGGGGCGAGGUGGACUGCUGCCGGUGGACCGGCGUCGAGUGCAGCAACCGGACCGGCCAUGUCGUCAAGCUCCAGGUCAGAAGCCACACCAACUCGGAAGGUGAACUCGUGCCCGGAACUACCAUUGGAGGUGAGAUAAGCUCCUCCUUGCUCACUCUGCGUCAUCUCAAGCACCUGGACCUCUCGUCCAACAACUUCGGCGGCGGGCCCAUCCCGGAGUUCAUCGGUGGACUCGGGAGCCUGACACAUCUCCUCCUCGCCAACUCGUACUUCGGCGGCCGGAUCCCUCCCCACCUCGGAAACCUCUCCAACCUGCUCGUCCUUGACCUCUACGACUACCAUCAGUCCCACAGUUGUUACUCGCCUGAUCUCGCAUGGGUGUUGCGCCUGCGGAAGCUACGCCACCUCGCCAUGUCCGGGGUGGACCUAAGUGCCACCGUCGACUGGGCUCAUGCUGUCAACAUGCUCCCCUCCUUGGUACUCCUUGAACUAGUAUCUUGCGGGCUUCGGAACACUAUGCCGCUGCCGUUCCGCUCCAACCUCACAUCACUAGAGAUCCUCCAUCUCGAGUCCAACUCCUUUAACUCGUCCUUUGGAGCCAACUACUUGGCUUGGGACCUACCUGCUCUCCAACAUUUUUACAUGGAUAGCUGCGGAAUCAAGGGCUCUAUCCCUGACGCAGUGGGAAACUUGACCUCCAUUCAGUCACUGUCCCUUGGCAGAAAUAACUUCUUUGGCAUGGUGCCAUCGACCUUCAAGAAACUUGAAAAAUUGCGAUUCCUCAACUUAGGGGGCAACUUCAUUGGCGGGGACAUACAAGAUCUAUUGCACAGAUUGCCAACGGAUGAGUUACAACAGCUAUACUUGUACCAAAAUAAUUUGACAGGGAACCUUCCAGAUUGGCUAGAGCAAUUUAGCAGUUUGUCCAUACUUUGGCUCCAUAAUAACAAACUAUCCGGAGAGAUACCGAUCAGUAUAAGGGAACUCACAAGGUUAAAGGAGUUACGGCUGGAUUCAAACAACUUGCAUGGUAUCAUCACCGAAGAGCAUUUCAGGAAUCUUACUGGCCUACAGGUUCUAUGGAUCUCCAAUAACUCCUUAACUAUGCUGGUUGACAGCACGUGGAACUCUCCAUUCAAAUUAACUUCAGCGGGCUUUAGAUCUUGCAUCCUAGGCCCCUGGUUUCCAACAUGGAUUAGCCAACCAACACUCGACAUUCUUGAUAUUGCAAACACAAGUAUACAUGAUUUCAUUCCCGUUGAGUUUUGGAUGGCAAUGCACAAUGUGAAAGUUUUGGAGUUAUCGGAAAAUCGGUUUGUUGGCAAGCUUCCCACUUUUUCUAUAUUUGGUGCAUUGGAAGUUGUCGUGUUGGAUAUCGGUUCAAACCAGCUUGAUGGCCCGAUUCCGGCACUCCCAAAGAACCUAGUCUACCUGGACCUCUCUAGGAACAACCUAUCGGGUGCACUACCGUCAGAUAUUGGAGCGCCGAUGGUAGAAACACUCAUGCUCUUCCAAAAUUCUUUUUCCGGAACCAUUCCAUGCUCCCUGUUUGAGUUGCAGCAACUGAAGUUCCUCGACCUAUCAGAGAACCUACUGAACGGCACAUUGCCCAAUUGCCCUGAGAUACCCAAAAGGUCAAAUAUCAGCAUGCUUAACUUGAAUAGCAAUGAUAUUUCAGGAGAAUUCCCAUCAAUUCUCAAGAGGUGUAAAGAGCUAAAAUUCCUUGACCUGGCAUACAAUAAAUUUUCUGGGAGGUUACCAACAUGGAUCAGGUCAAAGUUACCAUACUUGGCAUUUCUGCGGUUGCGGUCAAACAUGUUUUUUGGUGGCAUCCCUUCCAAAAUUACCAAGAUGAAUCGGCUUCAGUACUUAGACAUUGCAAGCAACAACAUCUCAGGGAACAUACCAGUUUCACUUGGGAGCCUCGUAGCUAUGGCUCAUACUCCCAAUCAACAAGAUGGCCUUUCCCAAUAUGUCCAAAUUCAACUGCCUUCGUCGGGAACUGUUGGUGCUACUAAUGGUGAUAGCUUUUGGGUAGUCACAAAAGGUCAGCAGCUUGAGUACAAAACAGGAAUUAAUUACAUGGUAAACAUUGAUCUUUCCAGCAACAGUUUGACAGGGCAGAUUCCUCAGGAAAUCGGCAUGCUCGUUGCAUUGAAAAGCUUGAACUUGUCAUGGAAUCACCUUAGUAGCAUAAUGCCCCAAACUAUUGGUGAGCUUCGUGCAGUGGAAUCUCUGGAUCUCUCCCAUAUAUAA
RNAcentral lists this ribosomal RNA (2640 nucleotides) under Triticum aestivum (bread wheat). RNAcentral describes it as "partial small subunit ribosomal RNA". The record is from RNAcentral. Lineage: Eukaryota; Viridiplantae; Streptophyta; Magnoliopsida; Poales; Poaceae.